CCUACGGGAGGCAGCAGUGAGGAAUAUUGGUCAAUGGACGAGAGUCUGAACCAGCCAAGUAGCGUGAAGGAUGACUGCCCUAUGGGUUGUAAACUUCUUUUAUAUGGGAAUAAAAUGUUCCACGUGUGGGAUUUUGUAUGUACCAUCUGAAUAAGGAUCGGCUAACUCCGUGCCAGCAGCCGCGGUAAUACGGAGGAUCCGAGCGUUAGCCGGAUUUAUUGGGUUUAAAGGGAGCGUAGGUGGAGUGUUAAGUCAGUUGUGAAAGUUUGCGGCUCAACCGUAAAAUUGCAGUUGAAACUGGCAGUCUUGAGUACAGUAGAGGUGGGCGGAAUUCGUGGUGUAGCGGUGAAAUGCUUAGAUAUCACGAAGAACUCCGAUUGCGAAGGCAGUUCACUGGACUGCAACUGACACUGAGGCUCGAAAGUGUGGGUAUCAAACAGGAUUAGAUACCCAGUAGUC
This 459-nucleotide ribosomal RNA is filed under the name uncultured bacterium. RNAcentral's name for it is "partial 16S ribosomal RNA". It matches the Rfam family "Bacterial small subunit ribosomal RNA", at positions 338 to 795 of the family's 1533-position model. The record is from RNAcentral.